GUGCAACUCGCUCCUGAGUGAGUCGGGGGCCGAAAGGGUGCUGCGGCUGGGAAGCCCGGGCGCCGGGGACCUGCGCGCGCUGCCCGGCCUGGCCGGAGCCUGUAGCCCGGGGGCGCCACGGCCGGGCUCGCAGUCCCCCCACGCCGGCCCCCCGGUCCCCGCCGAGCCAGUGUCCUCACCCUGUGGUUUCCUUUCGCUUCUCGCCUCCCAAACACCUCCAGCAAGUCGGAGGGCGCGAACGCGGAGCCAGAAACCCUUCCCCAAAGUUUCUCCCGCCAGGUACCUAAUUGAAUCAUCCAUAGGAUGACAAAUCAGCCAGGGCCAAGAUUUCCAGACACUUGAGUGACUUCCCGGUCCCCGAGGUGACUUGUCAGCUCCAGUGAGUAACUUGGAACUGUCGCUCGGGGCAAGGUGUGUGUCUAGGAGAGAGCCGGCGGCUCACUCACGCUUUCCAGAGAGCGACCCGGGCCGACUUCAAAAUACACACAGGGUCAUUUAUAGGGACUGGAGCCGCGCGCAGGACAACGUCUCCGAGACUGAGACAUUUUCCAAACAGUGCUGACAUUUUGUCGGGCCCCAUAAAAAAUGUAAACGCGAGGUGACGAACCCGGCGGGGAGGGUUCGUGUCUGGCUGUGUCUGCGUCCUGGCGGCGUGGGAGGUUAUAGUUCCAGACCUGGCGGCUGCGGAUCGCCGGGCCGGUACCCGCGAGGAGUGUAGGUACCCUCAGCCCGACCACCUCCCGCAAUCAUGGGGACACCGGCUUGGAUGAGACACAGGCGUGGAAAACAGCCUUCGUGAAACUCCACAAACACGUGGAACUUGAAAAGACAACUACAGCCCCGCGUGUGCGCGAGAGACCUCACGUCACCCCAUCAGUUCCCACUUCGCCAAAGUUUCCCUUCAGUGGGGACUCCAGAGUGGUGCGCCCCAUGCCCGUGCGUCCUGUAACGUGCCCUGAUUGUGUACCCCUCUGCCCGCUCUACUUGAAAUGAAAACACAAAAACUGUUCCGAAUUAGCGCAACUUUAAAGCCCCGUUAUCUGUCUUCUACACUGGGCGCUCUUAGGCCACUGACAGAAACAUGGUUUGAACCCUAAUUGUUGCUAUCAGUCUCAGUCAGCGCAGGUCUCUCAGUGACCUGUGACGCCGGGAGUUGAGGUGCGCGUAUCCUUAAACCCGCGCGAACGCCACCGGCUCAGCGUAGAAAACUAUUUGUAAUCCCUAGUUUGCGUCUCUGAGCUUUAACUCCCCCACACUCUCAAGCGCCCGGUUUCUCCUCGUCUCUCGCCUGCGAGCAAAGUUCCUAUGGCAUCCACUUACCAGGUAACCGGGAUUUCCACAACAAAGCCCGGCGUGCGGGUCCCUUCCCCCGGCCGGCCAGCGCGAGUGACAGCGGGCGGCCGGCGCUGGCGAGGAGUAACUUGGGGCUCCAGCCCUUCAGAGCGCUCCGCGGGCUGUGCCUCCUUCGGAAAUGAAAACCCCCAUCCAAACGGGGGGACGGAGCGCGGAAACCCGGCCCAAGUGCCGUGUGUGCGCGCGCGUCUGCGAGGGCAGCGGCGGCAGGGGGAGGAGGAGGCAGAGGCGGGGUGGCUGGACCCUCGGCAUCAGCUCAUUCUCCCCUGCUACACACAUACACACACAAAUAAUGUUUCUAAAAAGUUCAGUUGCGACUUUGUGCCUCGCCUGUCCUGUUCAUCCUCGUCCUGGGCCGGGGAAUGCUUCUGGGGGCCGACCCCGGGAUGCUGGCUAAUUGCUGCCGGCGGGUUCCGUCGCCGGUGUGACCCUGGACGGCGCGGACGGCGUACAGGGGGUCCCGGGAGGGGCAGUGGCCGCGGCACUCGCCGCCGGUGCCCGUGCGCGCCGCGCUCUGGGCUGCCCGGGCGGCGCAGUGUGGACGCGGCUGCAGGGAGAGGGGAAGGGGGAAGAGGGAGGGAGGAAGGCAGCCGGGCGAGGAGUGUGGAUGUGUGUGCGGCCGCGAGGGCCGGC
This 1986-nucleotide long non-coding RNA is filed under the name Homo sapiens (human). RNAcentral describes it as "non-protein coding lnc-SLC1A1-1:3". The record is from RNAcentral. Lineage: Eukaryota; Metazoa; Chordata; Mammalia; Primates; Hominidae.